ACGGGUGAGUAAUGUCUGGGAAACUGCCUGAUGGAGGGGGAUAACUACUGGAAACGGUAGCUAAUACCGCAUAACGUCGCAAGACCAAAGAGGGGGACCUUCGGGCCUCUUGCCAUCAGAUGUGCCCAGAUGGGAUUAGCUAGUAGGUGGGGUAACGGCUCACCUAGGCGACGAUCCCUAGCUGGUCUGAGAGGAUGACCAGCCACACUGGAACUGAGACACGGUCCAGACUCCUACGGGAGGCAGCAGUGGGGAAUAUUGCACAAUGGGCGCAAGCCUGAUGCAGCCAUGCCGCGUGUAUGAAGAAGGCCUUCGGGUUGUAAAGUACUUUCAGCGGGGAGGAAGGUGUUGCGGUUAAUAACCGCAGCAAUUGACGUUACCCGCAGAAGAAGCACCGGCUAACUCCGUGCCAGCAGCCGCGGUAAUACGGAGGGUGCAAGCGUUAAUCGGAAUUACUGGGCGUAAAGCGCACGCAGGCGGUCUGUCAAGUCGGAUGUGAAAUCCCCGGGCUCAACCUGGGAACUGCAUUCGAAACUGGCAGGCUAGAGUCUUGUAGAGGGGGGUAGAAUUCCAGGUGUAGC
This 581-nucleotide ribosomal RNA is filed under the name uncultured bacterium. RNAcentral's name for it is "bacterial SSU rRNA". It matches the Rfam family "Bacterial small subunit ribosomal RNA", at positions 102 to 679 of the family's 1533-position model. The record is from RNAcentral.